GACGAACGCUGGCGGCGUGCUUAACGCAUGCAAGUCGAACGGAAAGGCCCUGCUUUUGUGGGGUGCUCGAGUGGCGAACGGGUGAGUAACACGUGAGUAACCUGCCCUUGACUUUGGGAUAACUUCAGGAAACUGGGGCUAAUACCGGAUAGGAGCUCCUGCUGCAUGGUGGGGGUUGGAAAGUUUCGGCGGUUGGGGAUGGACUCGCGGCUUAUCAGCUUGUUGGUGGGGUGGUGGCUUACCAAGGCUUUGACGGGUAGCCGGCCUGAGAGGGUGACCGGGCACAAUGGGACUGAGGUACCGGCCAGACUCCUACGGGAGGCAGCAGUGGGGAAUAUUGCACAAUGGGCGGAAGCCUGAUGCAGCAACGCCGCGUGCGGGAUGACGGCCUUCGGGUUGUAAACCGCUUUCGCCUGUGACGAAGCGUGAGUGACGGUAAUGGGUAAAGAAGCACCGGCUAACUACGUG
This 468-nucleotide ribosomal RNA is filed under the name uncultured bacterium. RNAcentral's name for it is "partial 16S ribosomal RNA". It matches the Rfam family "Bacterial small subunit ribosomal RNA", at positions 28 to 507 of the family's 1533-position model. The record is from RNAcentral.